GACGAACGCUGGCGGCGUGCUUAACACAUGCAAGUCGAACGGAAAGGCCCUGCUUUUGUGGGGUGCUCGAGUGGCGAACGGGUGAGUAACACGUGAGUAACCUGCCCUUGACUUUGGGAUAACUUCAGGAAACUGGGGCUAAUACCGGAUAGGAGCUCCUGCUGCAUGGUGGGGGGUGGAAAGUUUCGGCGGUUGGGGAUGGACUCGCGGCUUAUCAGCUUGUUGGUGGGGGAGUGGCUUACCAAGGCUUUGACGGGUAGCCGGCCUGAGAGGGUGACCGGCCACAUUGGGACUGAGAUACGGCCCAGACUCCUACGGGAGGCAGCAGUGGGGAAUAUUGCACAAUGGGCGGAAGCCUGAUGCAGCAACGCCGCGUGCGGGAUGACGGCCUUCGGGUUGUAAACCGCUUUCGCCUGUGACGAAGCGUGAGUGACGGUAAUGGGUAAAGAAGCACCGGCUAACUACGUG
This 468-nucleotide ribosomal RNA is filed under the name uncultured bacterium. RNAcentral describes it as "partial 16S ribosomal RNA". It matches the Rfam family "Bacterial small subunit ribosomal RNA", at positions 28 to 507 of the family's 1533-position model. The record is from RNAcentral.